Molecule: ribosomal RNA, 391 nt
Filed under: Chrysophyceae sp.
Lineage: Eukaryota; Chrysophyceae
Description: partial small subunit ribosomal RNA
Rfam family: Eukaryotic small subunit ribosomal RNA
Source: RNAcentral
AUUCCAGCUCCAAUAGCGUAUACUAAAGUUGUUGCAGUUAAAAAGCUCGUAGUUGAAUUUCUGGUCUCGGACAGCGGUCUGCCUCAAACGAGGUACGCACCACCUGUUCAGGUCCAUCCUCGGAGAAAACAUGCCUGUGAUUCAGUUCAUGGGUAUGGGAUCUUCGUCAUUUACUGUGAGCAAAAUAGAGUGUUCAAAGCAGGCUUAUGCCGUUGAAUACAUUAGCAUGGAAUAAUAAAAUAAGACCUUGGUCUAUUUUGUUGGUUUGUACUCCAAGGUAAUGAUUAAUAGGGAUAGUUGGGGGUAUUCGUAUUCAAUUGUCAGAGGUGAAAUUCUUGGAUUUAUGGAAGACGAACUACUGCGAAAGCAUUUACCAAGGAUGUUUUCAUCG